Molecule: ribosomal RNA, 253 nt
Filed under: uncultured bacterium
Lineage: Bacteria
Description: partial 16S ribosomal RNA
Rfam family: Bacterial small subunit ribosomal RNA
Source: RNAcentral
UACGGAGGGUGCAAGCGUUGCUCGGAAUUACUGGGCGUAAAGCGCACGUAGGCGGCUCUUUAAGUCGGGGGUGAAAUCCUGGAGCUCAACUCCAGAACUGCCUUCGAUACUGGAGAGCUCGAGUCCGGGAGAGGUGAGUGGAACUGCGAGUGUAGAGGUGAAAUUCGUAGAUAUUCGCAAGAACACCAGUGGCGAAGGCGGCUCACUGGCCCGGUACUGACGCUGAGGUGCGAAAGCGUGGGGAGCAAACAGG